RNAcentral lists this ribosomal RNA (787 nucleotides) under uncultured archaeon. Its description in RNAcentral is "bacterial SSU rRNA". It matches the Rfam family "Archaeal small subunit ribosomal RNA", at positions 44 to 839 of the family's 1478-position model. The record is from RNAcentral.
CUAAGCCAUGCGAGUUAACGUAGCAAUACGUGGCACACGGCUCAGUAACACGUGGUCAACAUACCCAGAGGACGUGGAUAACCUCGGGAAACUGAGGAUAAACCGCGAUAGACCAUAAUGUCUGGAAUGAUUUAUGGUUCAAAUCUAUAUGGCCUCUGGAUUGGACUGCGGCCGAUCAGGCUGUUGGUGAGGUAAUGGCCCACCAAACCUGAAACCGGUACGGGCUCUGAGAGGAGAAGCCCGGAGAUGGGCACUGAGACAAGGGCCCAGGCCCUAUGGGGCGCAGCAGGCGCGAAACCUUUGCAAUAGGCGAAAGCCUGACAAGGUUACUCUGAGUGAUCUCCGCUAAGGAAAUCUUUUGACACCUCUAAAAAUGGUGUAGAAUAAGGGGUGGGCAAGCCUGGUGUCAGCCGCCGCGGUAAUACCAGCACCCCGAGUGGUCGGGACGAUUAUUGGGCCUAAAGCAUCCGUAGCCGGUUCUUUAAGUCCUCCGUUAAAUCCACCUGCUUAACAGAUGGGCUGCGGAGGAUACUAUAGAGCUAGGAGGCGGGAGAGGCAAGCGGUACUCAGUGGGUAGGGGUAAAAUCCGUUGAUCCAUUGAAGACCACCAGUGGCGAAGGCGGCUUGCCAGAACGCGCUCGACGGUGAGGGAUGAAAGCUGGGGGAGCAAACCGGAUUAGAUACCCGGGUAGUCCCAGCUGUAAACGAUGCAGACUCGGUGAUGAACAGGCUUCGUGCCUGUUCAGUGCCGCAGGGAAGCCGUUAAGUCUGCCGCCUGGGGAGUACG